UUUUUCGAGAGUUUGAUCCUGGCUCAGGAUGAACGCUGGCUGUGUGCCUAAUACAUGCAUGUCGAGCGAAGGUAGCAAUACCUUAGCGGCGAAUGGGUGAGUAACACGUGCUCAACGUACCCUUCAGUUUGGCAUAGCGACUGGAAACAGUCGAUAAUUUCAAAUACUCGUAGUUUUCGCAUGAAGAUUACGGAAAAGAAGCGUUUGCUUCGCUGGAGGAGCGGGGUGCGUAACAUUAGCUAGUUGGUGAGGUAACGGCCCACCAAGGCGAUGAUGUUUAGCGGGGUUGAGAGACUGAACCGCCACACUGGGACUGAGAUACGGCCCAGACUCCUACGGGAGGCAGCAGUAGGGAAUAUUCCACAAUGGGCGAAAGCCUGAUGGAGCGACACAGCGUGAAGGAUGAAGGUCCUAUGGAUUGUAAACUUCUGUGGUAAGGGAAGAAAAGACAGAAUAGGAAAUGAUUUUGUUUUGACGGUACCUUAUUAGAAGCAACGGCUAACUAUGUGCAGCAGCCGCGGUAUACAUAGGUUGAAGCGUUAUCGGAAUAUUGGCGUAAGAGUCUGUAGUGUUGNUAGUCGGCGUUAAUUUGGGCUCACNNNNNNN
This 606-nucleotide non-coding RNA is filed under the name Mycoplasmopsis fermentans PG18. RNAcentral describes it as "Mycoplasma fermentans PG18 Bacterial small subunit ribosomal RNA". It matches the Rfam family "Bacterial small subunit ribosomal RNA", at positions 1 to 620 of the family's 1533-position model. Lineage: Bacteria; Bacillati; Mycoplasmatota; Mycoplasmoidales; Metamycoplasmataceae. The record is from Rfam by way of RNAcentral.